RNAcentral lists this ribosomal RNA (492 nucleotides) under uncultured bacterium. Its description in RNAcentral is "partial 16S ribosomal RNA". It matches the Rfam family "Bacterial small subunit ribosomal RNA", at positions 28 to 507 of the family's 1533-position model. The record is from RNAcentral.
GAUGAACGCUAGCUACAGGCUUAACACAUGCAAGUCGAGGGGCAGCGGUAUCGAAAGCUUGCUUUCGGUAGCCGGCGACCGGCGCACGGGUGUGUAACGCGUAUCGAACCUGCCUCAUACUCGGGAAUAGCCUUGCGAAAGUAAGAUUAAUGCCCGGUGUUUUCAGAGUCCCGCAUGAGGCUUUGAACAAAGAUUUAUCGGUAUGAGAUGGCGAUGCGUCCCAUUAGCUUGUUGGCGGGGUAACGGCCCACCAAGGCAUCGAUGGGUAGGGGUUCUGAGAGGAAGGUCCCCCACAUUGGAACUGAGACACGGUCCAAACUCCUACGGGAGGCAGCAGUGAGGAAUAUUGGUCAAUGGGCGGAAGCCUGAACCAGCCAAGUAGCGUGCAGGAAGACGGCCCUCCGGGUUGUAAACUGCUUUUAGUUGGGAAUAAAACGGGGCUCGUGAGCCCCCUUGCAUGUACCAUCAGAAAAAGGACCGGCUAAUUCCGUG